Long non-coding RNA from Brachypodium distachyon (stiff brome), 1498 nucleotides. RefSeq lists it as uncharacterized. Lineage: Eukaryota; Viridiplantae; Streptophyta; Magnoliopsida; Poales; Poaceae. The record is from RefSeq and is a predicted model, not a curated record. The transcript has 2 exons.
GCAAGCCAUCUCGAGCCGAAGGGCAGGACGGAGACCCUGGCCGCACCUGAAGGCAGCGGACGUCGCGCCAGCGCCAGACGCACGCACAGGAGAUCGACGGAGCGCCUGGAAGCCAGACGAGGGCAGCGCGCUGCUGCGCCCAAGGCGAACAGGUCCAAGGAGGACCAGACGCAGGUCAGAUUGAACCUGAGAAGACCGACGAGGCCAGACGCAGGUAUGUGUUCUCCAUCAUCUAGCAGGUGUGUUCCAGAGGCGCAGAUCGAUCGUCCACGAGAGCUACGCAGCAGAGAACGCGCCCAGGACGGCGAACUUGUACCAGAGCACGCAUGCCUAGCAGCACCAACCAGGUUCACAUGGAUGGAGGAGGCAAUACGCAGGGGCAGCACGCCUCACCACGGCGACGCACGCCGCACACCACAACGCGUAAGGUUCAUCGAGGUGAACAAGGCUAGGCAGUGCCCAAGGCGGACAGGUCCAGGAGCGCCAAGACAAAGUCCGGGGACAUCAAGGCCAUGCGGCCGCCCAGACCGCGGCCACGACGACACGCGCUCGUCCAAGCCUCCAAGGUGCCAUGGAGGUGUAUGCAGGACAGGAGGAGAUAUGUUUGUCUCCGGAGUUUAGCAAUCUCGUGAUUGCCAUCUGGGCUGUGUACCACAUUCUGACGCCCGUCCGAUGCGGAGCGCCAUCUUCAUCAAUAGCCCGUCAACAUAAGCCUAAGCGCCAUCGUGGGCGACAGUGCGGACGUGGGCGACGUCCACACAGUGCCCGUCCCAGACGGAGCGUUACCUUGCUGAACAGGGCGCCGUCUUCAUCGACAAGCUAGCUGACGUUCAUGUGAACACCGCCGACGGCGCCAGAUACAAGAGGAUCGCCACGAUAGGGCGGGGCGCCUUCUUCAUCAACCACCCAUCGACAUCUGCCUGAGCGCGCCAUCAUGCAUGAUGGUGCGGAUGUGGGUGACAUCUACAUAGUGCCCACUCCAGGCGGCCGGAGCACAACCUUGAUGAACAGGACGAGCUGGCGUACAGGUCGUCGUCAUCAGCAACAGGUUGUCGAGUCGGCGGGAGGCGCCCGCCGGCCUGUAGGUCUCCUCCAACUGUCAAACGUCACCGCUAGUGGCUGCAUUCGACGUGGUGUCCCCUGAGACACCGCCAUACAGGGCGCCUGUCUUGGCGCAUCCUUCACCGACCCAGCGUCGUGACGCCGCCGCUCAUGGCCGGCCUUCUACCCAGUGUCCAUUGGGAUCCCAGUGUCCGUUGGGAUACCGCCAUAUAGGGCGCCCAUCUUGGCGCACUUUUCAACAACUUGGCAUUGGUACGCCACCGCUCGCCGCGGCCUUCUAUGUGGUGUCCACUGAGACAUCACCAUACAGCGCGCCCGUCUUGGCGCACUCUUCAACAACUUGGCAUUGGUAGGCCAUUGCUCGUGGCGGCUUUCUACAUGAUGUCCGCCGGGACAUCGCCGUACACGGCGUCCGCAUUGGCGCACUCUUCACCAA